RNAcentral lists this ribosomal RNA (606 nucleotides) under uncultured bacterium. RNAcentral's name for it is "bacterial SSU rRNA". It matches the Rfam family "Bacterial small subunit ribosomal RNA", at positions 221 to 824 of the family's 1533-position model. The record is from RNAcentral.
AUCGAUGGGGAUGCGUUCCAUUAGCUUGUUGGCGGGGUAACGGCCCACCAAGGCAUCGAUGGAUAGGGGUUCUGAGAGGAAGGUCCCCCACAUUGGAACUGAGACACGGUCCAAACUCCUACGGGAGGCAGCAGUGAGGAAUAUUGGUCAAUGGGCGCUAGCCUGAACCAGCCAAGUAGCGUGAAGGAUGACUGCCCUAUGGGUUGUAAACUUCUUUUAUAUGGGAAUAAAGUGCAGUAUGUAUACUGCUUUGCAUGUGCCUUAUGAAUAAGGAUCGGCUAACUCCGUGCCAGCAGCCGCGGUAAUACGGAGGAUCCGAGCGUUAUCCGGAUUUAUUGGGUUUAAAGGGAGCGUAGGCGGGUUGUUAAGUCAGUUGUGAAAGUUUGCGGCUCAACCGUAAAAUUGCAGUUGAUACUGGCAUCCUUGAGUACAGUAGAGGUAGGCGGAAUUCGUGGUGUAGCGGUGAAAUGCUUAGAUAUCACGAAGAACUCCGAUUGCGAAGGCAGCCUGCUGGACUGUAACUGACGCUGAUGCUCGAAAGUGUGGGUAUCAAACAGGAUUAGAUACCCUGGUAGUCCACACAGUAAACGAUGAAUACUCGCUGUU